UUUUCUACACUAUAUGGACUUGUCCCUUUGCUAUCCUUUCUCCGUAUAACAAAUCUGCGCACCCACCUUCCCCCACCCUCUUCUUCUUCUUCUUCUCUUUCUUCUUGAGGUCAAUGUUGCUUCAGAUAGUUGGUAGUACGCACGUCUCAGUGUUCUUUCGUCUCAACGGAAUUGAGGUUUCUUUUUGAACUUUUAGAUUGGUUAGGUUUGAAGUGUAUGCAUUCUAAUGGGGGGUGAGAGUGGGAUUGAGUCGUGGUUUGGUAGUAUGAGGUGGAUUCCAUGGAAGGGUGUGUCAGAUGCUGAAAAGGGGGGGAUUGAAAUUUUGGCGUUUGAAGUUGCUAGCUUGAUGUUGAAGGUGGUUAAUUUAUGGCAAUGCUUGAGUGAUAAGGAGGUUCAUAGGUUGAGGAAAGAGAUUGUGAACUCGAUUGGGCUUAAGAAGCUUUUAUCCGAGGAUGAUGAUUAUCUGAUGGAAAUUGCCUUGAAUGAAAUAGUUGAGAAUUUCGUAUUUCUGGCAAGGUCUGUGGCCAGGCUUGGGAAGAGGUGCAAAGACCCUUUGUAUCACCAUUUUGAACAUUUUGUUAAUGACCCUAUUCAGAAUGGCUUUCAAUGGGUGGGGUGGGAAUAUAGAUGGAAGAAGAUGGAGCGGAAGAUGAAGAAAAUGGAGAGAUUUGUUGCCUCUAUGACACAAUUUUCACAAGAGCUGGAAGUGCUGGCGGAGCUCGAACAAACUCUUAGGAGAAUGCAGAAUACCGAGCUAAACCGGGUAAAAGUGCUCGAGUUUCAGAAGAAGGUAAUCUGGCAUCGUCAGGAAGUGAGAAAUCUGAGAGAGAUGUCCCCAUGGAAUAGAACUUAUGAUUAUGUUACCCGGCUUCUGGUGCGAUCACUUUUUACGAUACUAGAGAGGAUGAAGCAUGUCUUUGGAACUUAUCAAGUGCCUUCUUUAGAGCGAAUGACUGAUUCUCAGCUUAUGAAUAUUGAAUGUUUUCCUCGCAGCCAUUCCUUUUCCACUCUUCUGCAUUCAUCUGUUCAUCCAUCUGAGAAUAAUCUGCCUGGGUUCUAUUCAGGACCUAUUGAGAGGUCGGUUUCAACGCGAGGAAAAAAUGGUGACAUGAGUAGGAGAAAGGACAAGCAACGACAUGAGCGUCAUUUGUCAUCGACCAUACAUGGAAACCACCUAAAAGUGGAAGCCAAUCAAUUAGCUCAUGUUGGAUCUUUCAAAGGGUGGUGCAUGAAUGCUGCAAGCGAAUCUCCUGUUAUGCUGAGCUGUAAGCCAACCGGCAGCAGUUCUAUGAGGUUGACUGGUGUUCGUAUGAAAAGUAUUGACAAAACCAGUAACACAAAUAUUGAAUCUUUAUCUUGCAGUGACAGGAUAUAUUCUAAAUUGUUGUUAUUCAAUAAGCGUAGGUUGUUGACCGCACCCCCAUCCACUCUUGGUGAUGCUGCUUUAGCUCUCCAUUAUGCAAAUGUGAUUUUAUUGAUUGAGGAUCUGGCUUCAUCACCUCACUUAAUUGGCCUUGACAAGAGAGAUGUUCUGUACAAUAUGUUACCCACGACUAUAAGAACUGCUCUGAGGGCGAGGCUAAAGUCGUAUGCCGGAACCAUGGCCUCAUCUGUUUACAAUGCUGCCCUAGUAGUGGAGUGGAGUCAGGCGCUUGGGCAGAUAUUGGAAUGGCUGGUUCCACUUGCUCUAAACAUGGUGAAGUGGCAUUCUGAGCGGAAUUUUGAGAAGCAGGAUGCAUUUUCUGGAACAAAUGUGAUGCUGGUCCAGACCCUUUACUUUGCAAAUCAAGCAAAAACUGAAGCUGCAAUCACCGAGCUUCUUGUGGGUCUGAACUAUAUCUGCAGGACUGGUGGACAGCGUCGUGAUAAAGAUGUGCAGGAGCCUGCUGGCUGCAGAGUUUAUAAUGAUUAUAUGUCCAAUAGGGAUGACAUUGCUGAAUGCUGAUGAUGUUUUAUAAAUUACGAGAGAUUUUUCUCCUAGGCGUCGUAAAAUGUACAUUAUCAAUAUAGAGAAAUGUUCCAUUCAAAUGGGAUGUGGUGGGGUUCAGAACAUAGAAGGCAUUCCUUCAAUUAUUAAGCCUUACGUUGCCUCUUUUGCAAAACCUUGUGAAGCCAUAGAUCAACUCAACGUGCAACCCUGAUUGAUGUUCCGCAGCUCUGAACUCAAUGUUUAUGUCUUCCUGAACUCGUGUGUUUCUGGUCUGGGGAUUCACUUCCCCGUGAAGUUGUCAUUUCAGAAUUGGGAUUUCGUAGAACAUUUUUGCCCAAAUUUCAGGGAAUUCAGCGUGAGCUAAGCAAAUACCAACCAACCCUAUGAUUUGUAUUGAGGAUAUUGUCGGUGUACUGUGUGAGCUAAGAAAAUACCAACGAACGCAAUGAUUU
Molecule: RNA transcript, 2382 nt
Organism: Corylus avellana
Lineage: Eukaryota; Viridiplantae; Streptophyta; Magnoliopsida; Fagales; Betulaceae
Gene name: protein PSK SIMULATOR 1
Source: RefSeq, a predicted model, not a curated record